Molecule: long non-coding RNA, 2938 nt
Filed under: Vigna radiata
Lineage: Eukaryota; Viridiplantae; Streptophyta; Magnoliopsida; Fabales; Fabaceae
Description: long non-coding RNA (VRAD_LNC010616)
Source: RNAcentral
ACAGUGAAGCAAAUGAUGAACAACGCGAGAAUGAACAAAAAUUAACACUGCUGAGAAUCAAAAGAAACACAAGCUUAGAAUCAAACUGAAACAAAACACAAAGCUAAUAACAGAGACAAAGACAAAAAACGCUAAUCAACACAGAAACAAGAUCAAACCGAGAUAAAGGAAACCAAAAGCAAAGAUCGAGACACUUAUCAUUGACGCGUGGACAUAACCUGAUGCUCUGAAUACCACUUGAUACGCUCGACUCCGGUAAGAAUCCAUGGAUCUGGCGCGGAUCGAUCGGAGGAACGGAUGAGAGACGCAGCGGAAGUCGAAAAACGAAGAUAACCCUAGGUUUUGGUGGUUUGCAAGGAAAAGGAAGUGAACAGAAAGGUUUGUUCGGUAGGAAAGCUGAGGUUUGACACGGACACAGGUUUAAUCGACGGAGAAAUGGUUAUAAUCGGUGGAAAGGAAGGUUUCACCGAUUGGAUCGGUGAUAUGGAAGGAAGGAUAAAAAACAUUCGAUUAGACGGAAGGCAAGGAUGAUGAGAUGGUAGAUCUAGGCAAGAAAAACGAAUUUACCGGUGGAGAUAUGAGGAUCUGUGGUUCGUGGUUAAAACCCUAGCAGACGAAGUUCGGCGAGAGUGAAAGGGUUCUGUGACGCGAGAAGGCAAUUNGCGUUUUUGAUGCGUGGAAGGAAAGUGAGUGACGAGGCAAUGGUUCUGACGUGUGGUGAAGGAAGCUGACACCACUGAUGAUGCGUCUGAGGCCUAUUGGUAGAGAAGGUGACGCAAUGUCAUGAGAGAGAAAGCACAAUGGUAAAAAAUGGAAAAUGAAAGAAUGAGGUAGUGUGCUGGAAGGUGGCUAGAGGAGGUCCCUUGGACUCUCUAGCCUGACUUUCAAGGGAGAAUUAAUUCUGGAUUUCAGAAAUCUAAUUCUCAUUUAGCUCAAAAGUGAUUACAAGAUGUGUUAGCAUGCCUAUAUAUAGGGCUAAAUGUACCACAUGCCUAACACAUUGUACACAUCUCUAAUACAAUUAAAAGAAAUACUAAACUAAAGGCAUUGGGCUUUGGGCCCCGCGUAUCAGGAGUGCACCCCUAUUUUACUAUGCACACCAUAAGCCACUUUUCUGAUUUUUAGCACAUGUAUGUCGUGCUCCAUCUUCUAGAUACUCAGCACAUUUCUUUUGCUUUCAUAAGUGGCACUAGAUCCACACUUUGAGGACCAGCAUAUGCCACGCCACUGCCCAUGAACAUUCUAUAAAUUCAUGGCAGCCUCCUUGUAAACGUUACUUUGGAAUUAAAUGAGAAAUUUAUUUGCUGAUGCAUUCUUUCCAGCUUGGGAAAACUCUACCAAAGUCACCCACAGAGCCUUGUUUCCCCUCCACUAGCUUUCUUCCUCUAGAAGAUCGUCUAAGCUAGAUACCACCACACCAUAAGCUCAUCCCUCCAUCACUGAAUCACCGUGCCUAUCGUUUUUGCAUCAUGCUGCUUCUAUACUUUCGGAUCCUUCAUCCACCGUUGACACAUUCCACAAAAAGCCACUUCAUGCUUGUUCUUCCCUCUGCAACUUCCUUCCUUGUAUGGAAGGCUACCUGAGUUGUAGCCACUGCAUUUUAAACAUGUUGAACAUAUAUAACAGUUAAAAUGCAUAAGAACAUGUAAUCACAGCAAUCAACAUAUGCAUGUUAUUAAGCAAUGUGUUGUCAUCAUAAAAAACUACAUUGAUAUAGAAAUUGUGUUGUUAACAAUCUCAACAAUCUCCCCCUUUUUUGAUGAUGCACAACCAUGAUUAAUAACCAACCAUGUUUGCACAAUCUAAUUCCAAACAGCAAAAUAUCAAGCAGAUAAGAAGAAUAUGAGAUAGAAUGAAAAUGCAUUUUUCUCUUUUCAUAUUCUCCCCCUUUCAUAAAGCUUUUAUACAAUCUCUCCCCCUUUUUGCAUUAGCAAAAACGGUAUGCUCUAGAUAUUUAUGCUGAAAUAUCAAAUAGAGAUGCAUCAAAACAGAGAUAUGCAAUAGUCAAUAUGCAGUGAUGCUCUCAUUAGCACAUUUAAAUCAUAUGAAAAUGAUAACUCCCCCUGAAGUGUAGGCAUGUGAAAUAUAUAAGAGUUUCAAAGGAUUACAUUAAUUCCCCAACAACAAUGGAGGUUUAGUUCACCAUAAUCAUGGUGAAACUAGAUGAAAAUAAUGGAAGGAAUGAAAAGAUAAACCCUAGAUUUGAUAGAUUGGAGCUCCCGCAUCCAAAAUCCACCUCCGAGGGGUGAAGAGAGUGUUUCUGUGUCCUUUCUGUCAAAAGAUACCCCUUCUGGUUCGUCUGGGUCUAUAUAUAGCACAAAAAAAUAACACAAUUUUGGCCCAGGCCUAAUAGAACAUCGCCCGGUGGAUGGUGCGACACUCAGAAUGGCCUCCAUGCAGUGACGCUCAGUCGCGAAACAGUGAACUUCAUCAGCAGCGCCAUUGCUCAGCGGUACAAACCCACUGCUCAACGCCAGCGGAUUUUUCAGCACUUCAUUUUUCUGCACUCUGGUUAACUUUUCUGCAUUUUGUUUGACCUUUCUACACUACAACUCCUUGAUACUUCAACCCUUAUUUCCAAUCAUUUGAUAAACCUACAAAAUCAAAGGAAAACCAAGCAUAAAACCAAGAAAACCAACUUUGACUCUCUUAUUCUAUAACUUAAGCAAAAUGCAUGAUUGCAAGCUAAUUCUAAGUCAUAAAGAGUGUGAUUUAAUAUAAAAAUUAAGUAUAAACAUAACGGCUUUUGAACCGUUAUCACAACCCCAAACUUAGAACUUUGCUUGUCCUCAAGCAAACAAGAUGAAACUUAGUCUUCCAUAAAUCAUCACAAUAGUUCAACUGUUUCCUAAUCUUUUUCUUUCAAGACAAGUAAUCACUCAAAUCAUCUCAUCAAUAGAAUUUAGUCAAGAUGUACACACGCCUUUAUUCACAAUAA